RNAcentral lists this ribosomal RNA (224 nucleotides) under uncultured bacterium. RNAcentral's name for it is "partial 16S ribosomal RNA". It matches the Rfam family "Bacterial small subunit ribosomal RNA", at positions 524 to 744 of the family's 1533-position model. The record is from RNAcentral.
UACGUAGGGUGCAAGCGUUGUCCGGAAUUAUUGGGCGUAAAGAGCUCGUAGGCGGUUUGUUGCGUCGGCUGUGAAAUCCCGAGGCUCAACCUCGGGUCUGCAGUCGAUACGAGCAAACUAGAGUGUUGCAGGGGGAGACUGGAAUUCCUGGUGUAGCGGUGAAAUGCGCAGAUAUCAGGAGGGAACACCCGGUGGCGAAGGCGGGUCUCUGGGCAACAACUGAC